Stegastes partitus (bicolor damselfish) is the source of this 320-nucleotide long non-coding RNA. RefSeq lists it as uncharacterized. The transcript has 3 exons. Lineage: Eukaryota; Metazoa; Chordata; Actinopteri; Pomacentridae. The record is from RefSeq and is a predicted model, not a curated record.
CUGUUCUGUGAGCUGUUUGCAUUCUGCUUUCUCGUGACUGCAGUUGAGUUGGAGGAGAGUGCAGCUAAAGCCAAGAGUGGUCCAGUGAAUGAUCGUCAUCAAGCUCAACACUCAGUGAUGCCUGUGCUCACACUUGUGUUAAUUGGUGACUCUAAUUCCAUUGAAAUUGGACCAAAAAACUUCUUGAUUGACCACGAAGAGCAAACAAAUGUGGAGCAGUUUUCAUCCAAACUGUAUGAUUUGUGUGGUCGGCACAUCUCUGUCAUUAACAUGCUUGCUUCUCCAAACAUUGACAAACUCCCAUUAAAUCAGGAAAUUGA